GGAUGGACCGAGGACUUGAAAAGCCAGCCCCCUCCCGCCGUAGCCUAUGGGAAGAAAGCGGUAUGGAGGCCGGGAGCAAAGUGACAGCUGCUGUAAGCCUAUCAGGUAGAAGAAUAGAGAAUGCCCUUCAGCCUGUUUGCCUUUAUCGUGUGACAGAAUGCAAAGUGAUUUUCUGGAAAAGCGUGCACAUGACUGCAGCUUGGUGAGUGAGCUGACUGGAUUAUUUAUACACAGAAACAGCUGUGUGCUUGCUUGUGGUUUGCUGGGUUCUGCAACUAGCAACACCUGCAGUGGUGUGUGUCCUUUUUGUCCUAUCAAUUUAUAAAUAAAUUUAUUUUAACAGAGUCAUCAUUGUAAGACUCUGGUGCUCUCUUCUCUGCAGAAAGGUGACACAUCUCUGCUCAGUGAAUAUAGGAGAAGGGGGGAAAUACAUCUCCCACAAGUGCCAAUAUGAUUUGCAUUGUAGAAGAGUCAGUGUUUUUAAAUUUCAGAGAAAUAAUGGGGAAUUACACCAUCAAAGAAGGCAAAUACUCCUGGUUUUUUGCACAACAGAAGUAAUGCUAUUGUGGGAAUUUGCAGAGGGUUAGUACCUCUGUCAGCUUGCUGUAGGAAAAACUAUGAAGAGACUUGUGGUCACCUUGAAGGCUAAAAAGUAUGGCAAUCAUCCCCAAAGCUGAAGUCUACUCCAUGAGAAGCAUCUUAUGAAGUUGACUUUAUCCCACAAAAGCUUAUGCCAUAUACAUUUAAAGCAACACAAGACAAUAGUAAGAGACUCUACAGUAUUUGAUGAUACAGACGAAACUCUUAUGUGUGAAGGUAAGAGAAAGAGCUGCAAAUCUCUAAAGACAAAAAGCAAUAAAAAUACUGUAUUUAAUAAAUUGCAUCUGGUGAAGAGGAUUCUGGACCAUGAAAAUGCAUGCUGCAAUAUAUUUAUUAAAACCUUAAGACGCCA
Long non-coding RNA from Lacerta agilis (Sand lizard), 952 nucleotides. RefSeq lists it as uncharacterized. The transcript has 2 exons. The record is from RefSeq and is a predicted model, not a curated record. NCBI's taxonomy places the organism in Eukaryota, Metazoa, Chordata, Lepidosauria, Squamata, Lacertidae.